This 391-nucleotide ribosomal RNA is filed under the name uncultured bacterium. RNAcentral describes it as "bacterial SSU rRNA". It matches the Rfam family "Bacterial small subunit ribosomal RNA", at positions 29 to 426 of the family's 1533-position model. The record is from RNAcentral.
AUUGAACGCUGGCGGCAUGCUUUACACAUGCAAGUCGAACGGUAACAGGCCUUCGGGUGCUGACGAGUGGCGAACGGGUGAGUAAUGCAUCGGAACGUGCCCAAUCGUGGGGGAUAACGUAGCGAAAGUUACGCUAAUACCGCAUAAGCCCUGAGGGGGAAAGUGGGGACCGCAAGGCCUCACGCGAAUGGAGCGGCCGAUGUCAGAUUAGCUAGUUGGUGGGGUAAAGGCCCACCAAGGCGACGAUCUGUAGCGGGUCUGAGAGGAUGAUCCGCCACACUGGGACUGAGACACGGCCCAGACUCCUACGGGAGGCAGCAGUGGGGAAUUUUGGACAAUGGGCGCAAGCCUGAUCCAGCCAUGCCGCGUGCGGGACGAAGGCCUCGGUUGU